Molecule: ribosomal RNA, 301 nt
Filed under: uncultured bacterium
Lineage: Bacteria
Description: partial 16S ribosomal RNA
Rfam family: Bacterial small subunit ribosomal RNA
Source: RNAcentral
CAGUAGCCGCGGGAAUACAGAGGGUGCGAGCGUUAAUCGGAUUUACUGGGCGUAAAGCGUGCGUAGGCGGCUUCUUAAGUCGGAUGUGAAAUCCCUGAGCUUAACUUAGGAAUUGCAUUCGAUACUGGGAAGCUAGAGUAUGGGAGAGGAUGGUAGAAUUCCAGGUGUAGCGGUGAAAUGCGUAGAGAUCUGGAGGAAUACCGAUGGCGAAGGCAGCCAUCUGUCCUAAUACUGACGCUGAGGUACGAAAGCAUGGGGAGCAAACAGGAUUAGAUACCCCUGUAGUCCCUGUCUCUUAUAC